UUAGGUUAAGUUAUGAAGGGCGCAUGGUGAAUGCCUUGGUACUAGGAGCCGAUGAAGGACGGGACUAACACCGAUAUGCUUCGGGGAGCGGUAAGUACGCUUUGAUCCGGAGAUUUCCGAAUGGGGAAACCCAAUCAGCUUAGUCGCUGAUUACUUGACUAGUGAAUACAUAGCUAGCAAGAGGUAGACGCAGUGAACUGAAACAUCUUAGUAGCUGCAGGAAGAGAAAGAAACAUCGAUUCCCUGAGUAGCGGCGAGCGAAAAGGGAAGAGCCCAAACUAACAAGCUUGCUUGUUGGGGUUGUAGGACUGAACAUUAGAGUUACCAAAGUGCGACGUAGUCGCAACAGUUGGGAAGCUGUGCCAUAGAGGGUGAAAGCCCCGUAGACGAAACGUCACACUCUCUGUUCAGGAUCCUGAGUACGGCGGGACACGUGAAACCCCGUCGGAACCCGCGAGGGCCAUCUCGCAAGGCUAAAUACUCCCUAGUGACCGAUAGUGAACCAGUACCGUGAGGGAAAGGUGAAAAGCACCCCGGAAGGGGAGUGAAAUAGUUCCUGAAACCAUGUGCCUACAAGCUGUCGGAGCCCGUUAAUGGGUGACGGCGUGCCUCUUGCAGAAUGAACCGGCGAGUUACGAUUGCAUGCAAGGUUAAGGUGGAAAAACCGGAGCCGUAGCGAAAGCGAGUCUUAAGUGGGCGUAAGAAGUAUGUAGUUGUAGACCCGAAACCAGGUGACCUACCCAUGUCCAGGUUGAAGGUGCGGUAAAGCGCACUGGAGGACCGAACCCGUGUCAGUUGAAAAUGGCUGGGAUGAGGUGUGGGUAGCGGUGAAAUUCCAAACGAACUUGGAGAUAGCUGGUUCUCUCCGAAAUCUCUUUAGGGGGAGCCUUGAGGUAAAGAAUCGUGGAGGUAGAGCUACUGUUUGGACAAGGGGCCCGUCAUGGGUUACCAACUUCAGAUAAACUCCGAAUGCCAUCGAUUUAUACUCAGGAGUCAGACGAUGAGUGAUAAGAUCCACCGUCGAAAGGGGAACAGCCCAGAUCACCAGUUAAGGUCCCUAAAUAUAUGCUAAGUGGAAAAGGAUGUGGAGUUGCAUAGACAACUAGGAUGUUGGCUUAGAAGCAGCCACCAUUUAAAGAGUGCGUAAUAGCUCACUAGUCGAGUGAUUCUGCGCCGAAAAUGUAC
Molecule: ribosomal RNA, 1185 nt
Filed under: Limosilactobacillus reuteri
Lineage: Bacteria; Bacillati; Bacillota; Bacilli; Lactobacillales; Lactobacillaceae
Description: bacterial LSU rRNA
Rfam family: Bacterial large subunit ribosomal RNA
Source: RNAcentral